AACUUACUGAAACCAUUCUACCAGCAAAAUAGUUUCAGAUUACAACUCUCUGAAACCAUUGUACCAGAUAAAUGGUUUCAGAAGCAAAAACAAUUAAUAAAUUACUCACUGGAACCAUUCUACCAGUAAAAUGGUUUCAGAAUACAACUAUGUGCAAUCAUUCUACAAGCUAAAUGGUUUCAGAAGCAAAUGACUAAUAAUCAACUUACUGAAACCAUUCUACCAGCAAAAUGGUUUCAGAUUACAACUCUCUGAAACCAUUGUACCAGAUAAAUGGUUUCAGAAGCAAACACAAUUAAUAAAAUUACUCAUUGAAACCAUUCAACCAGUAAAAUGGUUUCAGAAUACAACUAUGUGCAACCAUUCUACCAAUAAAAUGGUUUCAGAAGCAAACAUUAGUUUUUAAUUACCGUUUUAUCUCAUUUAAUUAACUAAAAAUAGUUUCAAGUCUCCAAAAAUUUCAUAAAAUACACCAAAAGUUCCAGAAUAUUAUCUA
RNAcentral lists this long non-coding RNA (496 nucleotides) under Trifolium pratense (red clover). Its description in RNAcentral is "long non-coding RNA (TPRA_LNC011088)". The record is from RNAcentral. Lineage: Eukaryota; Viridiplantae; Streptophyta; Magnoliopsida; Fabales; Fabaceae.